CCUACGGGUGGCAGCAGUGAGGAAUAUUGGUCAAUGGACGGAAGUCUGAACCAGCCAUGCCGCGUGCAGGAAGACGGCUCUAUGAGUUGUAAACUGCUUUUGUACAAGGGUAAACCUGAAUACGUGUAUUCAGCUGAAAGUACUGUACGAAUAAGGAUCGGCUAACUCCGUGCCAGCAGCCGCGGUAAUACGGAGGAUCCAAGCGUUAUCCGGAUUUAUUGGGUUUAAAGGGUGCGUAGGCGGAUUGGUAAGUUAGAGGGGAAAUGUCCGAGCUUAACUCGGGAACUGCCUCUAAUACUGUUGAUCUAGAGAGUAGGUGCGGUAGGCGGAAUGUAUGGUGUAGUGGUGAAAUGCUUAGAGAUCAUACAGAACACCGAUUACGAAGGCAGCUUACCAAUCUAUAUCUGACGUUGAGGCACGAAAGCGUGGGGAGCAAACAGGAUUAGAUACCCCAGUAGUC
RNAcentral lists this ribosomal RNA (460 nucleotides) under uncultured bacterium. RNAcentral describes it as "partial 16S ribosomal RNA". It matches the Rfam family "Bacterial small subunit ribosomal RNA", at positions 338 to 795 of the family's 1533-position model. The record is from RNAcentral.